This 397-nucleotide ribosomal RNA is filed under the name uncultured bacterium. RNAcentral describes it as "bacterial SSU rRNA". It matches the Rfam family "Bacterial small subunit ribosomal RNA", at positions 358 to 772 of the family's 1533-position model. The record is from RNAcentral.
GGAAUCUUGCGCAAUGGGCGACAGCCUGACGCAGCCAUGCCGCGUGUAUGAGGAAGGUCUUAGGAUUGUAAAAUACUUUCACCGGUGAAGAUAAUGACUGUAGCCGGAGAAGAAGCCCCGGCUAACUUCGUGCCAGCAGCCGCGGUAAUCCGAAGGGGGCUAGCGUUGCUCGGAAUUACUGGGCGUAGAGGGAGCGUAGGCGGACAUUUAAGUCAGAGGUGAAAUCCCGGAGCUUAACUUCGGAACUGCCUUUGAUACUGGAUGUCUUGAGUGUGAGAGAGGUAUGUGGAACUCCGAGUGUAGAGGUGAAAUUCGUAGAUAUUCGGAAGAACACCAGUGGCGAAGGCGACAUACUGGCUCAUUACUGACGCUGAGGCUCGGAAGCGUGGGGAGCAAA